AUAUCAUUAAGCGGAGGAAAAGAAACUAACAAGGAUGCCCUUAGUAACGGCGAGUGAAGCGGGCAAAGCUCAAACUGAAAAUCGGGUCUCCACACGGGGAUUCGAAUUGUAGUCUAUAGACGCAGCGUCAGUAGUGACCCAGGUAUAAAUCUUUUGAAACAAGGUAUCAUAGAGGGUGAGAAUCCCGUCUUUGACUUGGAGUUCACUGCGUACGACCUGUGUUCAAAGAGUCGAGUUGCUUGGGAUUGCAGCUCUAAUUGGGUGGUAAAUUUCAUCUAAAGCUAAAUAACGAUCAGAGACCGAUAGCGAACAAGUACCGUGAGGGAAAGAUGAAAAGAACUUUGAAAAGAGAGUUAAAAAGUACUUGAAAUUGUUAAGAAGGAAGCGCUGGAAACCAGUCGUGCCGGUUGGCGUAUCAGCCCAUCCGUGGGGAGGAUGCAGUAAGCCGAGAGCCUUAAACCUCGGUCAAUGCGGAAUUUUCAUGGUAGGGACGCGCGUCAGCUGGUGAGUCAGAAUCGUUUUGUUUCGUGUGAGAAAGCUUGCGGGAAGGUAGGUUAGCGGGGGCAACUCCAAUGACUGUUAUAGCCUGCGAGUCCUAGCAUGGAACAGAUCGAGGAUUUCAACACG
Molecule: ribosomal RNA, 627 nt
Filed under: uncultured fungus
Lineage: Eukaryota; Fungi
Description: eukaryotic LSU rRNA
Rfam family: Eukaryotic large subunit ribosomal RNA
Source: RNAcentral